GCCCCAGGGAUUAUUGAACGUAAAUUUGUGCAUGAACCCAUGCAAACAGGCUUAAAAGCAGUGGAUAGUCUGGUUCCUAUAGGCCAUGGUCAACGAGAACUUAUAAUCGGGGACAGACAAACUGGAAAAGCUGCAAUAGCUAUCGAUCUGUCCCCAAUAAUGAACUCUCGCUGA
RNAcentral lists this ribosomal RNA (174 nucleotides) under Triticum aestivum (bread wheat). Its description in RNAcentral is "partial small subunit ribosomal RNA". Lineage: Eukaryota; Viridiplantae; Streptophyta; Magnoliopsida; Poales; Poaceae. The record is from RNAcentral.